Long non-coding RNA from Acyrthosiphon pisum (pea aphid), 832 nucleotides. RefSeq lists it as uncharacterized. The record is from RefSeq and is a predicted model, not a curated record. Lineage: Eukaryota; Metazoa; Arthropoda; Insecta; Hemiptera; Aphididae. The transcript has 2 exons.
UCAUAAUAUACAGAAUUAUCAACAAUAUUAUUUUAAGUGUUUUUUUGUUAUUAUAAAGUAUUAUUUUACACUAAGUUUUUACGUUUUUGGGCACGUAUCAUCGAAAUAAAUGUAACUUAAUUUCGUUACAAUCACAAUUAUCUGGCCACAGCCAUAUCGACCUUAAGUCAUAACAAUAUAUUAAAUUCUUCCGGCAUUCUAUAUUUUUUAAACCGCAGUCCUCUCUCUGUUGGGCACGUUCUCAGUAGUCACUACUCACGAUAUAGCAUAAUAUUAUACUAUAUUAGUCGGUAACAUACGGUUUCACACUUCCACCUUCUUCAUCAGUACGUCAUGACAUUGUCGUAUUCGCCAAUUUUCAAUCGAUCGUUUUUGAUCACAUAUAACUUGUUUUAUUCGUUUUUUGUUGGUAGGGGGAGGAACACGUGUGUGUUUGUUGUGGCAGAAUUAUUGAUUUGGGCAACCGUAUGUAUCUGCCAUGCCUGGGUGGGGGAUGGCGGCACUUCUUCUCCGGACACCGUGACUUGCCCGAAGAAAAAUUCCGCCCAGUGGCCGAGGAUCGAACCAGCGACGGCAGCGCCGCAACCGACGCCUUAGACCGCUCGGCCAUCUCGGUCCAAUUUAGCAAUAAUUGUAUCCAAAUAAUAUAUGAAAUUAUGUUAACAGCUAGUAAGUAAAUCUAAUAUUUUAGGUAAUUGUGUUAAAAUAUUUCAUUGCCAAAUUUAAGUCUAAAUGCAGUUAUUAUUUAUAUUGUCAUCACUAUGUUACGGAUUGUUAUCUAUAAUAUGUAUAUAUAUAUACGAAGAAAGCCGCGAAAGCGAUAGUUACAUUA